UAACGCGUGGAUAACCUGCCUCACACUGGGGAAUAACAGUUAGAAAUGACUGCUAAUACCGCAUAAGCGCACAGUGCCGCAUGGCAGUGUGUGAAAAACUCCGGUGGUGUGAGAUGGAUCCGCGUCUGAUUAGCCAGUUGGCGGGGUAACGGCCCACCAAAGCGACGAUCAGUAGCCGACCUGAGAGGGUGACCGGCCACAUUGGGACUGAGACACGGCCCAA
This 223-nucleotide ribosomal RNA is filed under the name uncultured bacterium. Its description in RNAcentral is "partial 16S ribosomal RNA". It matches the Rfam family "Bacterial small subunit ribosomal RNA", at positions 111 to 334 of the family's 1533-position model. The record is from RNAcentral.